AUUCUGUGAGCAGGAAAACAGGGGACCUUCGGGCCUUGCGCUGAUUGAGCGGCCGAUAUCAGAUUAGCUAGUUGGUGAGGUAAAGGCUCACCAAGGCGACGAUCUGUAGCGGGUCUGAGAGGAUGAUCCGCCACACUGGAACUGAGACACGGUCCAGACUCCUACGGGAGGCAGCAGUGGGGAAUUUUGGACAAUGGGCGCAAGCCUGAUCCAGCCAUGCCGCGUGAGUGAAGAAGGCCUUCGGGUUGUAAAGCCCUUUCGGCCGGGAAGAAAUCGUAUAGGUUAAUACCCUGUGCGGAUGACGGUACCGGCAUAAGAAGCACCGGCUAACUACGUGCCAGCAGCCGCGGUAAUACGUAGGGUGCGAGCGUUAAUCGGAAUUACUGGGCGUAAAGCGUGCGCAGGCGGUUUUGUAAGACAGGCGUGAAAUCCCCGGGCUCAACCUGGGAACUGCGUUUGUGACUGCAAGGCUAGAGUAUGGCAGAGGGGGGUGGAAUUCCACGUGUAGCAGUGAAAUGCGUAGAGAUGUGGAGGAACACCGAUGGCGAAGGCAGCCCCCUGGGCCAAUACUGACGCUCAUGCACGAAAGCGUGGGUAGCAAACAGGAUUAGAUACCCUGGUAGUCCACGCCCUAAACGAUGUCAACUAGGUGUUGGGUGGGUAAAACCAUUUAGUACCGUAGCUAACGCGUGAAGUUGACCGCCUGGGGAGUACGGCCGCAAGGUUAAAACUCAAAGGAAUUGACGGGGACCCGCACAAGCGGUGGAUGAUGUGGAUUAAUUCGAUGCAACGCGAAAAACCUUACCUACCCUUGACAUGUCCAGAAGCCCUGAGAGAUUGGGGUGUGCCCGAAAGGGAGCUGGAACACAGGUGCCGCAUGGCUGUCGUCAGCUCGUGUCGUGAGAUGUUGGGUUAAGUCCCGCAACGAGCGCAACCCUUGUCGUUAAUUGCCAUCAUUUAGUUGGGCACUUUAACGAGACUGCCGGUGACAAACCGGAGGAAGGUGGGGAUGACGUCAAGUCCUCAUGGCCCUUAUGGGUAGGGCUUCACACGUCAUACAAUGGUCGGUACAGAGGGUUGCCAAGCCGCGAGGUGGAGCCAAUCCCAGAAAGCCGAUCGUAGUCCGGAUUGCAGGCUGCAACUCGCCUGCAUGAAGUCGGAAUCGCUAGUAAUCGCGGAUCAGCAUGUCGCGGUGAAUACGUUCCCGGGUCUUGUACACACCGCCCGUCACACCAUGGGAGCGGGUUCCGCCAGAAGUGGGUAGCCUAACCGCAAGGAGGGCGCUCACCACGGCGG
RNAcentral lists this ribosomal RNA (1296 nucleotides) under metagenome. Its description in RNAcentral is "bacterial SSU rRNA". It matches the Rfam family "Bacterial small subunit ribosomal RNA", at positions 189 to 1465 of the family's 1533-position model. The record is from RNAcentral.